RNAcentral lists this long non-coding RNA (496 nucleotides) under Nicotiana benthamiana. RNAcentral describes it as "long non-coding RNA (NBEN_LNC011631)". Lineage: Eukaryota; Viridiplantae; Streptophyta; Magnoliopsida; Solanales; Solanaceae. The record is from RNAcentral.
GCCUCUUAAUUCCCCCUCUCCCAAUUCUCUCUCAAACCCUACCCACUGCCUUUAAUGACCACCCCAAAAUUGACAAAAUCCAUGGCCUCCAGAGCCAUUGAAGGCCUAUACCUGCCUCAUGUGACUCCUACAUGCUCGAUUAUCAUAGUUUCAAGGCCAGACCUUGAAGAAACUUGGUCCAGACCACGGAUGCUUUCAGUUCUAUGGUUGUUUUCGAUCAUCAUCGACCUUGCUCCGGCCAGCCAUGGCUAUUCAUGCCUGACUCUUGGCUACUCCUGCUUAGACUAAUGACUUUCCAAGUUGUUCUCACCGUCUGGGUUCUUCUGAAACCCUAACCUCCGAGAUUCAUCAAAUUCUUUUAGAUCCAUUUCAAAUCUGUGCUUACUCUAAAGUCCUAAAUAUUAUCUCAAGAUUUCUUUCAAAACUUUACCUUCAGAGCCUUUCUUUUUUCAGAUUUGGGGUUUGUUAAAUUAUUUCAAAGAUUUUUUUAUUUAUA